Molecule: ribosomal RNA, 497 nt
Filed under: uncultured bacterium
Lineage: Bacteria
Description: partial 16S ribosomal RNA
Rfam family: Bacterial small subunit ribosomal RNA
Source: RNAcentral
GAUGAACGCUGGCGGCGUGCCUAAUACAUGCGAGUCGAGCGAACAGACGAGGAGCUUGCUCCUCUGACGUUAGCGGCGGACGGGUGAGUAACACGUGGAUAACCUACCUAUAAGACUGGGAUAACUUCGGGAAACCGGAGCUAAUACCGGAUAAUAUAUUGAACCGCAUGGUUCAAUAGUGAAAGACGGUUUUGCUGUCACUUAUAGAUGGAUCCGCGCCGCAUUAGCUAGUUGGUAAGGUAACGGCUUACCAAGGCAACGAUGCGUAGCCGACCUGAGAGGGUGAUCGGCCACCCUGGAACGUAGACACGGUCCAGACUCCUACGGGAGGCAGCAGUAGGGAAUCUUCCGCAAUGGGCGAAAGCUUGACGGAGCAACGCCGCGUGAGUGAUGAAGGUCUUCGGAUCGUAAAACUCUGUUAUUAGGGAAGAACAAAUGUGUAAGUAACUAUGCACGUCUUGACAGUACCUAAUCAGAAAGCCACGGCUAACUACGUG